UGUUUUGUAGUGUAAGAUGCACAUGAAAUUUUGACUUUCAUAGAUUAAGUUUGAUUCUUAACAAUUCAA
Molecule: transfer RNA, 69 nt
Filed under: Exitianus nanus
Lineage: Eukaryota; Metazoa; Arthropoda; Insecta; Hemiptera; Cicadellidae
Description: tRNA-Gln
Source: RNAcentral